AUUGAACGCUGGCGGCAGGCCUAACACAUGCAAGUCGAACGGUAACAGGAAGCUGCUUGCUGCUUUGCUGACGAGUGGCGGACGGGUGAGUAAUGUCUGGGAAACUGCCUGAUGGAGGGGGAUAACUACUGGAAACGGUAGCUAAUACCGCAUAACGUCGCAAGACCAAAGAGGGGGACCUUCGGGCCUCUUGCCAUCGGAUGUGCCCAGAUGGGAUUAGCUAGUAGGUGGGGUAACGGCUCACCGAGGCGACGAUCCCUAGCUGGUCUGAGGGGAUGACCCGCCACACUGGAACUGAGACACGGUCCAGACUCCUACGGGAGGCAGCAGUGGGGAAUAUUGCACAAUGGGCGCAAGCCUGAUGCAGCAAUGCCGCGUGUAUGAAGAAGGCCUUCGGGUUGUAAAGUACUUUCAGCGGGGAGGAAGGGAGUAAAGUUAAUACCUUUGCUCAUUGACGUUACCCGCAGAAGAAGCACCGGCUAACUCCGUG
RNAcentral lists this ribosomal RNA (490 nucleotides) under uncultured bacterium. RNAcentral's name for it is "partial 16S ribosomal RNA". It matches the Rfam family "Bacterial small subunit ribosomal RNA", at positions 30 to 507 of the family's 1533-position model. The record is from RNAcentral.